Molecule: ribosomal RNA, 180 nt
Filed under: Nerilla antennata
Lineage: Eukaryota; Metazoa; Annelida; Polychaeta; Nerillidae
Description: partial ribosomal RNA large subunit
Source: RNAcentral
AGCUGGGUUGAACAACCGCUCAUGUAAGGGCUGCCUCGUCUAUUCUUUAGUAUGCAGCAUCGCUCGAAAGGGAAUCGGGUUAAAAUUCCCGAACCUGGCUACGGUGAACCGGGGCCGGCAGGGGCUCGCGCCUUUGCCCGGUUUCCCACUUGAUGAAGCGGCAACGCUUGCGAGCCGAGA